CUACAGGGAUGAUUUUAAAACCUGAACUCUCUCUUUCUGAUGGUGUAGUGGAGAAAAAGAGAAAAAUUAUCUGAGUAGC
This 79-nucleotide small nucleolar RNA is filed under the name Neotoma lepida (desert woodrat). Its description in RNAcentral is "Small nucleolar RNA SNORD26". It matches the Rfam family "Small nucleolar RNA SNORD26". From Rfam's summary of the family: U26 is a member of the C/D class of snoRNA which contain the C (UGAUGA) and D (CUGA) box motifs. The record is from Rfam by way of RNAcentral. Lineage: Eukaryota; Metazoa; Chordata; Mammalia; Rodentia; Cricetidae.